GAAUAACAACUCAACACGCUGUCCGAGAAAUCUCUUGAGUCAUUUUUGCCUCAUCAGCCAACAUUGAGGUAAAGACGGCUGGCAAGAAAAGUCCCCAAGGAGUUGUACAUCAGCUCUGUAAGGUUAUUUGCGGAAAAAACAGAGAAAUCAACGUUAAAACCAAAGUUUUUCCAAGCCAGAGGAAGAAUUGGGCGCAGAAAGUCUCGUUAUAUGAGUAAAAGCUCUGUCGGGUGCAUUUUGUACUUGCAAAACAGUCACUCAGCUGUCAGAUGACCUAUAGCUGACAGGCAGCUACUCCAAAGGGCCGUCAGUCACCACCAACAAAGAAAAAAAGAGGAGGGUCUUAAUUACAAUCACUAUCCGUCAUGGUCAUGGCUUUUCUAUUCAUCCAGCUGAUUAGGGACAUGACAAAUGAAUGUGGGAAUAAACGGAGUGUCAGGCUACGAAGGGAGAUGGAUGUUCUCUCAGCAGGGAGGAGUGGGGACAAGUACAGUUAGCGUUGGCAAGUGGCCAGAGUUUCCGAGCUGAAUGUGUUUCCACUCGUCACCCCGGGGGCAAUCGACAGCAAGACUCCCACCGGCUCUGGUCCGUCUGUCACACUCCUUUUUUACUAUUUAUUAGUUAAUGAACAACAUGUCACAUCAGUCCACCUUCAUCCCCUCCAGCACAUGCCUCUGUGACCCCAGCUCACCUCCCUGACCUGGAGUACCUGGACGUCAGUCAAAGUCAAUUUUAAAUUUAUGAAAGGCCUCUUUGCUGAGAUUUGUCUUUUCAGCUUUUGCAGUGAGAAAGAGCCACCGAUGAAUAGGAAGAGUUGUACUGGCUGUUGUCUGUGUGUAAUUAUAAAACGGACAAGCUGAACAUUAGCUGAGCCUUAACAGUGAAUAUAUUAAACACCAUUUAGCAUGA
This is a long non-coding RNA of Gambusia affinis (western mosquitofish), 909 nucleotides long. RefSeq lists it as uncharacterized. NCBI's taxonomy places the organism in Eukaryota, Metazoa, Chordata, Actinopteri, Cyprinodontiformes, Poeciliidae. The record is from RefSeq and is a predicted model, not a curated record. The transcript is spliced from 3 exons.